CUGACCUCGAAUCAGGUGGGACUACCCGC
RNAcentral lists this ribosomal RNA (29 nucleotides) under Hydnum sp. LJU GIS 1324. RNAcentral describes it as "partial 28S ribosomal RNA". The record is from RNAcentral. Lineage: Eukaryota; Fungi; Basidiomycota; Agaricomycetes; Cantharellales; Hydnaceae.